ACUUGAAUAGCUUAUUUUAAGAGCAUAACAUUGAAGAUGUUACGGAAAUUGUUAAAAAUUUUUAGGUA
Molecule: transfer RNA, 68 nt
Filed under: Balta curvirostris
Lineage: Eukaryota; Metazoa; Arthropoda; Insecta; Blattodea; Pseudophyllodromiidae
Description: tRNA-Phe
Rfam family: tRNA
About the family: Transfer RNA (tRNA) molecules are approximately 80 nucleotides in length.
Source: RNAcentral